This 29-nucleotide non-coding RNA is filed under the name Homo sapiens (human). The record is from RNAcentral. Lineage: Eukaryota; Metazoa; Chordata; Mammalia; Primates; Hominidae.
UGGAACUGACAGUGAUGGGAAUGUGGCAA